AUUGAACGCUGGCGGAAUGCUUUACACAUGCAAGUCGAACGGUAGAGGGGGCAACCCCUCGAGAGUGGCGAACGGGUGAGUAAUAUAUCGGAACGUGCCCAGUCGUGGGGGAUAACGUAGCGAAAGUUACGCUAAUACCGCAUACGAUCUAAGGAUGAAAGCGGGGGAUCGCAAGACCUCGCGCGAUUGGAGCGGCCGAUAUCAGAUUAGGUAGUUGGUGGGUAAAGGCUCACCAAGCCAACGAUCUGUAGCUGGUCUGAGAGGACGACCAGCCACACUGGAACUGAGACACGGUCCAGACUCCUACGGGAGGCAGCAGUGGGGAAUUUUGGACAAUGGACGCAAGUCUGAUCCAGCCAUUCCGCGUGCAGGAUGAAGGCCCUCGGGUUGUAAACUGCUUUUGUACGGAACGAAAAGGUCUCUCUUAAUACGGGGGACUCAUGACGGUACCGUAAGAAUAAGCACCGGCUAACUACGUGCCAGCCGCCGCCGUAA
This 495-nucleotide ribosomal RNA is filed under the name uncultured bacterium. RNAcentral describes it as "partial 16S ribosomal RNA". It matches the Rfam family "Bacterial small subunit ribosomal RNA", at positions 30 to 523 of the family's 1533-position model. The record is from RNAcentral.